Molecule: ribosomal RNA, 522 nt
Filed under: uncultured Pseudomonas sp.
Lineage: Bacteria; Pseudomonadati; Pseudomonadota; Gammaproteobacteria; Pseudomonadales; Pseudomonadaceae
Description: bacterial SSU rRNA
Rfam family: Bacterial small subunit ribosomal RNA
Source: RNAcentral
GAGUUUGAUCAUGGCUCAGAUUGAACGCUGGCGGCAGGCCUAACACAUGCAAGUCGAGCGGUAGAGAGAAGCUUGCUUCUCUUGAGAGCGGCGGACGGGUGAGUAAUGCCUAGGAAUCUGCCUGGUAGUGGGGGAUAACGUUCGGAAACGGACGCUAAUACCGCAUACGUCCUACGGGAGAAAGCAGGGGACCUUCGGGCCUUGCGCUAUCAGAUGAGCCUAGGUCGGAUUAGCUAGUUGGUGGGGUAAAGGCUCACCAAGGCGACGAUCCGUAACUGGUCUGAGAGGAUGAUCAGUCACACUGGAACUGAGACACGGUCCAGACUCCUACGGGAGGCAGCAGUGGGGAGUAUUGGACAAUGGGCGAAAGCCUGAUCCAGCCAUGCCGCGUGUGUGAAGAAGGUCUUCGGAUUGUAAAGCACUUUAAGUUGGGAGGAAGGGCAGUAACUUAAUACGUUGCUGUUUUGACGUUACCGACAGAAUAAGCACCGGCUAACUCUGUGCCAGCAGCCGCGGUAAUAC